This is a long non-coding RNA of Lagopus leucura (white-tailed ptarmigan), 1538 nucleotides long. RefSeq lists it as uncharacterized. Lineage: Eukaryota; Metazoa; Chordata; Aves; Galliformes; Phasianidae. The record is from RefSeq and is a predicted model, not a curated record. The transcript is spliced from 3 exons.
GUAAGUUGCUUUGGCUGCAGUGAGAGUUACUUCCAUGCUCAGCCAAGCUUGCAUUUUUUUCUCAGUGCAUCUUUCAUUCUGAACAUCUUAUGUUUACUUUUUGAGGUAACUGCAACCUCUGUCAUGCUUUAUCUCAGAAUGCAGUUUUGGACCAUCUACCUCCAAGAAAAGCUACUCUACGCACAACAGCCCUGCCAGGCUGCAGCAUGAGCUACCAAAUUGCUGCUGCUGCUCAAGUGCCUCUGUGCCAUGCGCCACUGGAUGGCCAGGCUUGGUGUCUACAAGCAAACCCCUGGGCUCGCUGUUCACAGCUCCAGCACCAAGGCUUAACUGGAGAAGGGAUUCCACAAGAGAAGCCAAAACUGUUUAUUAGAACCAGGAAUCACUGGGCUGACUUGCCAAAUCAGACUAAGAGUUUAUAUGGCCGUUAUGAGGACUUAGAAUAAAGCACGUGGACGUGCAAGACAUUGCCUUGUGAUCAGAGCUGAAAGUUAGCCUUGUCCCCUCUAUGGGCCCUGUUUUGUUUCUGAAGAUUUCCUCUGCUUUUUUCAGCUUGAACUGGGAACGGUUUAAACAUCUCUGCUGGGAGGUGAAUGGUGAAGCCCAAGCUCAGUGAAGCUGCUGUGUUUAGACUGAGUGUGGCCUGUGAUGUGGCUGCUGGUGCUGGAACCAAGCUGAUUGUCCUCAAAUGAGCUCCUCUUGAGUUACGGUAACUCAAGCAAUUCUGACUUUAUCCUAGAUGCCAGCCCUCAGCUAUUCCUGGAAUUAGAGUCUAGGCUAAGAGUGUAUGGUUUAAUAGAAAAAACAUCUAUAGCAUCUCCAAUUUUUUUUUUUUCAUUCUAAAGAAAUGUUAAUUUUUCUAAUUUCUGCUGAUUUUUCCCGUGGACCCACUGACUCUCCCACACAUUCUGCCUUAUGAUAGAAGCGCUUUUGUGAUGAAAGAAAGUAAGGCCUAUUCAUGGGAAAAGGUAGGUAGUCUGAAUGCUUCAAAGGAUCAUCUUGUAAGUAGCUUGUCUUUAUUGCUUCAUAGUACACAUAUGAGUUGCAGUCCUUGCUAAUCUGGUUGAUGCAGAGCUAGGGAUGGUAUGCAGUGAUAUUGAUAGAUUAUCCCUGUGGCUAAAGACUGAGAAUACCCCAUUACUUCUGUUUGAGAAUCUCAGUUACGUUCUCAUCAAAACAUCCCCAUUUUCUCAGGAAUUUCUGUACACUCAGCACAAAAUGCUUGCACAAUAGGCACAGUGACUCCUGCAACUAUUGUUUACAGUGUGCUGGCUAAUCCUUUCUGUGAUCCAGGCGGUGCCUACUGGGUUUGGCUUUUGACUGGGAUUAGAAACUGGUGCUGAUGCAUACUGCCAUGCUGCCUGGGGACCUCAGCAGGAUUGUGGCCACACUGUGCCAAGCAGCAUACAAACCCAGAGUUCAGAGCCUAUGGUUUGAGCAUCUUCCCUCUAAUUGUGCAUUUGACCCCCUUUCUCCUUCCAGCCCUUAAGUAAAACAUCUAAUCCUGUUCCAUUCCCGUAUCUUUUCAGGGAUUUAUU